This 2951-nucleotide ribosomal RNA is filed under the name Clostridioides difficile R20291. RNAcentral describes it as "bacterial LSU rRNA". It matches the Rfam family "Bacterial large subunit ribosomal RNA". The record is from RNAcentral. Lineage: Bacteria; Bacillati; Bacillota; Clostridia; Peptostreptococcales; Peptostreptococcaceae.
GGUCAAGUUAUUAAGGGUGCAGGGCGGAUGCCUUGGCACUAGGAGCCGAUGAAGGACGUGAUAAGCUGCGAUAAGCUUCGGGGAGUUGCACGUAAACUUUGAUCCGAAGAUUUCCGAAUGAGGAAACUCACUUAGAGUAAUGUCUAAGUAUCAUUAAGUGAAUACAUAGCUUAAUGAGGGGAACUCAGGGAACUGAAACAUCUAAGUACCUGAAGGAAGAGAAAGAAAUUCGAUUCCGUAAGUAGCGGCGAGCGAACGCGGAUUAGCCCAAACCAAUAAAGUUUUCUUUAUUGGGGUUGCGGACAUAUCAUAACGAAGAGGUAUCGUAAUUGAAGAGGUUUGGAAAGACCCACCACAGAAGGUAAUAGUCCUGUAUGUUAAACGAGAAGACUUCAGAUAUGAUCCAGAGUACCACGGGACACGUGAAACCCUGUGGGAAGCAGGAGGGACCACCCUCCAAGGCUAAAUACUACCUAGUGACCGAUAGCGUAUAGUACCGUGAGGGAAAGGUGAAAAGAACCCCGGGAGGGGAGUGAAAUAGAACCUGAAACCCUGCACUUACAAGCUGUGGAAGCACAUUUCUUGUGUGACCGCGUACUUUUUGUAGAACGGGCCAACGAGUUACGUUAAGUAGCAAGGUUAAGCACUUAAGGUGCGGAGCCGUAGCGAAAGCGAGUUUUAACUGAGCGUUCAGUUACUUGACGUAGACCCGAAACCGGGCGACCUACCCAUGAGCAGGAUGAAGCGAAAGUAAAAUUUCGUGGAGGUCCGAACCCACGAGCGUUGAAAAGCUCGGGGAUGACUUGUGGGUAGCGGUGAAAUUCCAAUCGAGCCCGGAGAUAGCUGGUUCUCCCCGAAAUAGCUUUAGGGCUAGCCUCAAGGUGAGAGAUACGGAGGUAGAGCACUGAAUGUCCUAGGGGGUAUUGCACCUACCGAAGACUAUCAAACUCCGAAUGCCGUCAUCUUAUACUUGGGAGUCAGACUGUGGGUGAUAAGAUUCAUAGUCGAAAGGGCAACAGCCCAGAUCGUCAGCUAAGGUCCCUAAAUGUAAGUUAAGUGGUAAAGGAUGUGGGAUUGCACAGACAACCAGGAUGUUGGCUUAGAAGCAGCCACUCAUUCAAAGAGUGCGUAAUAGCUCACUGGUCGAGUGAUCCUGCGCCGAAGAUUUCCGGGGCUAAAACUUACUACCGAAGCUACGGCAUCAGUAAUGAUGGGUAGGGGAGCUUCCCAUACGGGUUGAAGCAUGACCGUAAGGACAUGUGGACAGUAUGGGAGUGAGAAUGUUGGCAUGAGUAGCGAGAUGUGGGUGAGAAUCCCACAGGCCGUAAACCCAAGGUUUCCAGGGGAAGGUUCGUCCGCCCUGGGUUAGUCGGGACCUAAGCUGAGGCCGAAAGGCGUAGGUGAUGGACAACAGGUUGAUAUUCCUGUACUACCGAUAACCGUUUGAGAGAAGGGAUGACACAGUAGGAUAAGCUAAGCACACUGUUGGUUAUGUGUGCCCAAGCAUUGAGGCAGUCAAAGUAGGCAAAUCCGCUUUGAUAAUGCUGGGAUGUGAUGGGGAGCGAAAUUUAGUAGCGAAGUAGCUGAUUUCACACUGUCAAGAAAAGUCUCUAUCGAGGUUAAAGGUACCCGUACCGCAAACCGACACAGGUGGGUGAGGAGAGUAUCCUAAGGCCAGCGAGAGAACUGUUGUUAAGGAACUCGGCAAAAUGACCCCGUAACUUAGGGAUAAGGGGUGCCACCAUCAGGUGGCCGCAGAGAAUAGGCCCAAGCGACUGUUUACCAAAAACAUAGGUUUCUGCUAAGUCGCAAGACGAUGUAUAGGAGCUGACGCCUGCCCGGUGCUGGAAGGUUAAGGGGAUCUGUUAGAGCAAUCGAAGCAGUGAACUUAAGCCCCAGUAAACGGCGGCCGUAACUAUAACGGUCCUAAGGUAGCGAAAUUCCUUGUCGGGUAAGUUCCGACCCGCACGAAAGGCGUAACGAUUUGGGCACUGUCUCAACAACAGACUCGGUGAAAUUGUAAUUCCGGUGAAGAUGCCGGAUACCUGCGACAGGACGGAAAGACCCCAUGGAGCUUUACUGUAGCUUGACAUUGGGUUUUGGUACUACAUGUACAGGAUAGGUGGGAGGCUUUGAAACCAGGACGCCAGUUUUGGCGGAGCCAUCCUUGGGAUACCACCCUUGUAGUACUGGGACUCUAACCAUAGGCCAUGAAUCUGGUCUUGGGACACUGUCAGGCGGGCAGUUUGACUGGGGCGGUCGCCUCCCAAAAGGUAACGGAGGCGCUCAAAGGUUCUCUCAGUACGGUCGGAAAUCGUACGUAGAGUGUAAAGGCAAAAGAGAGCUUGAUUGCAAGACAUACAGGUCGAGCAAGGAUGAAAAUCGGACUUAGUGAUCCGGUGGUUCUGCGUGGAAGGGCCAUCGCUCAACGGAUAAAAGCUACCCUGGGGAUAACAGGCUUAUCUCCCCCAAGAGUCCACAUCGACGGGGAGGUUUGGCACCUCGAUGUCGGCUCAUCACAUCCUGGGGCUGUAGUAGGUCCCAAGGGUUGGGCUGUUCGCCCAUUAAAGUGGUACGCGAGCUGGGUUCAGAACGUCGUGAGACAGUUCGGUCCCUAUCCGUCGCAGGCGUAGGAAAUUUGAGAAGACCUGUCCUUAGUACGAGAGGACCGGGAUGGACGUACCUCUGGUGUACCAGUUGUUCUGCCAAGGGCAUGGCUGGGUAGCUAUGUACGGAAUGGAUAAGCGCUGAAAGCAUCUAAGCGCGAAGCCAACUUCAAGAUAAGAUUUCCCACCGCAAGGGUAAGACCCCAGAAAGACUAUCUGGUUGAUAGGUCGAAGGUGUAAGUGCAGCAAUGUAUUUAGCUUAUCGAUACUAAUAGGUCGAGGACUUGACCAAAUUAUUUGAUGUCCAUUCAAUAAAAUAUAUAUGUAGUUUUUAGAGUGUUAACU